Molecule: ribosomal RNA, 441 nt
Filed under: uncultured bacterium
Lineage: Bacteria
Description: bacterial SSU rRNA
Rfam family: Bacterial small subunit ribosomal RNA
Source: RNAcentral
ACUCCUACGGGAGGCAGCAGUGGGGAAUAUUGCACAAUGGGCGCAAGCCUGAUGCAGCCAUGCCGCGUGUGUGAAGAAGGCCUUCGGGUUGUAAAGCACUUUCAGUCGUGAGGAAGGUAGUGUAGUUAAUAGCUGCAUUAUUUGUACGUUAGCGACAGAAGAAGCACCGGCUAACUCCGUGCCAGCAGCCGCGGUAAUACGGAGGGUGCGAGCGUUAAUCGGAAUUACUGGGCGUAAAGCGCAUGCAGGUGGUUUGUUAAGUCAGAUGUGAAAGCCCGGGGCUCAACCUCGGAAUAGCAUUUGAAACUGGCAGACUAGAGUACUGUAGAGGGGGUUAGAAUUUCAGGUGUAGCGGUGAAAUGCGUAGAGAUCUGAAGGAAUACCGGUGGCGAAGGCGGCCCCUGGACAGAUACUGACACUCAGAUGCGAAAGCGUGGGAGC